RNAcentral lists this ribosomal RNA (479 nucleotides) under uncultured bacterium. RNAcentral describes it as "bacterial SSU rRNA". It matches the Rfam family "Bacterial small subunit ribosomal RNA", at positions 28 to 507 of the family's 1533-position model. The record is from RNAcentral.
GACGAACGCUGGCGGCGUGCUUAAUACAUGCAAGUCAACUUGACUUUAGAUAGCAAUAUCGAAAAGUAGGGUGGCGCACGGGUGCGUAACGCGUAGGUAAUCUGCCCUGAGGUCUGACAUAACCCGUCGAAAGGCGGGCUAACAUCAGAUGAUAUAUAAUCACGACAUCGUGGAAAUAUCAAAUCUUCGGAGCCUUGGGAUGAGCCUGCGUCUGAUUAGGUAGUUGGCGGAGUAAUAGCCCACCAAGCCUACGAUCAGUAGCUGGUCUGAGAGGAUGAUCAGCCACACUGGAACUGAGACACGGUCCAGACUCCUACGGGAGGCAGCAGUAAGGAAUAUUGCUCAAUGGGGGAAACCCUGAAGCAGCAACGCCGCGUGAAGGAUGAAAUACUUUUGUAUGUAAACUUCUGUAAGAUGGGAAAAUAUUCUCCUCGGGAGAAUUGAUUGUACCAUCAGAGUAAGCCCCGGCUAACUACGUG